CGUAGGGUGCAAGCGUUAAUCGGAAUUACUGGGCGUAAAGCGUGCGCAGGCGGUUUUGUAAGACAGGCGUGAAAUCCCCGGGCUCAACCUGGGAAUUGCGCUUGUGACUGCAAAGCUGGAGUGCGGCAGAGGGGGAUGGAAUUCCGCGUGUAGCAGUGAAAUGCGUAGAUAUGCGGAGGAACACCGAUGGCGAAGGCAAUCCCCUGGGCCUGCACUGACGCUCAUGCACGAAAGCGUGGGGAGCAAACAGGAUUAGAUACCCUGGUAGUCCACGCCCUAAACGAUGUCAACUGGUUGUUGGGUCUCUUCUGACUCAGUAACGAAGCUAACGCGUGAAGUUGACCGCCUGGGGAGUACGGCCGCAAGGCUG
This 370-nucleotide ribosomal RNA is filed under the name uncultured organism. RNAcentral's name for it is "bacterial SSU rRNA". It matches the Rfam family "Bacterial small subunit ribosomal RNA", at positions 526 to 896 of the family's 1533-position model. The record is from RNAcentral.